Long non-coding RNA from Labrus mixtus (cuckoo wrasse), 587 nucleotides. RefSeq lists it as uncharacterized. The record is from RefSeq and is a predicted model, not a curated record. The transcript has 2 exons. Lineage: Eukaryota; Metazoa; Chordata; Actinopteri; Labriformes; Labridae.
CAAACACACAGACACUGCAGCUUCUUUUUUUCAGAGUUAAAAUGUUGAAAUAAAUAUUUUUGAGCUUAAAGGAGCAAUAUGUAACUCUGGCACCUAGUGUUUAAAAUGGGUACUGCAGUCCAAAUUCAAAACAUUGUAGAGAGCUGUCUCCCCCUGCCCCCUCCUCUCUAGAAAACAUGCAGAGGCUUUUUAGGUCGGGUACAAUCACUUCUAUCUGAACCACUUCUCUUGACCGCUUCCAUCGCUGCAACACCUGUUGACCUGAUAACUGCUCUCAUAUCUGACAAACCGAGAGGCGUCCAAAACGGCCGUGUGGGGGUCGUCUUAAAACCGCCUACCUUCUCUGGUCCAAACAAAUCCAGAUCAUUCAGGAGCAGAAUCUAAAGUUAGAAGGAGGACAUACUGACUGCUGCACUGUUGUCAGAGAAGCCAGCACUUCAACAUAGCAUGUUUCCUUAAUGUCUGAUCAGAUAGUAAGAUCACUUUAUCAGUUCACUCACUACACAUCUCACUGAUUGAUCCUUUAAGGGAAGUUUCUGGAUCUUUCUUCUUCAUACCAAAAACUUUAGUACAGUCAAUUCUUUUAA